This 1484-nucleotide ribosomal RNA is filed under the name uncultured Actinomycetes bacterium. RNAcentral's name for it is "uncultured actinobacterium 16S ribosomal RNA". It matches the Rfam family "Bacterial small subunit ribosomal RNA". The record is from RNAcentral. Lineage: Bacteria; Bacillati; Actinomycetota; Actinomycetes.
GUUUGAUCCUGGCUCAGGAUGAACGCUGGCGGUGCGCCUAAUGCAUGCAAGUCGAGCGACGCACGUCCAGUCCGCAAGGACAGGGCAUGACGGAGCGGCGAACGGGUGAGUAACACGUGAGCAACCUGCCCCACAGACCGGGAUAGCCCAGGGAAACCUGGAUUAAUACCGGAUAUCCUCUUAGGACCGCAUGGUCCAUUGAGGAAAGGCCUUUGUGCUGUGGGAUGGGCUCGCGACUUAUCAGUUAGUUGGUGGGGUAACGGCCUACCAAGACAAUGACGAGUAGCUGGUCUGAGAGGACGAUCAGCCACACUGGAACUGAGACACGGUCCAGACUCCUACGGGAGGCAGCAGCAGGGAAUCUUGCGCAAUGGGCGAAAGCCUGACGCAGCGACACCGCGUGGGGGAUGAAGGCCUUCGGGUUGUAAACCCCUUUCAGGAGGGAAGAAAUUGACGGUACCUCCACAAGAAGGACCGGCCAACUGCGUGCCAGCAGCCGCGGUAAUACGUAGGGUCCGAGCGUUAUCCGGAAUCAUUGGGCGUAAAGAGCUCGUAGGCGGUUCAGCAAGUCGGCUGUGAAAGUUCGAGGCUCAACCUCGAAAUUGCAGUCGAUACUGCUGUGACUCGAGUCCGGUAGAGGAGAUGGAUUCCCGGUGUAGCGGUGAAAUGCGCAUAUAUCGGGAGGAACACCCAGUAGCGAAGGCGGUUCUCUGGGCCGGCCUGACGCUGAGGAGCGAAAGCUAGGGGAGCAAACAGGAUUAGAUACCCUGGUAGUCCUAGCUGUAAACGAUGGAUACUAGANGUAGGAAUUGGAUUAACGNUUUCUGUNUCGUAGCUAACGCNUUAAGUAUCCCGCCUGGGGAGUACGGUCGCAAGACUAAAACUCAAAGGAAUUGACGGGACCCCGCACAAGCGGNGGAGCAUGCGGCUUAAUUCGAUGAUACCCGUAGAACCUUACCUGGACUUGACAUAUAGGGAAAAGCUGNAGAAAUNUAGUGUGCGUAAGCGCCCCUGACAGGUGGUGCAUGGCUGUCGUCANCUCGUGUCGUGAGAUGUUGGGUUAAGUCCCGCAACGAGCGCAACCCUUAUCCUAUGUUGCCAGCGGUUCGGCCGGGGACUCAUAGGAGACUGCCGGGGAUAACUCGGAGGAAGGUGAGGACGACGUCAAGUCAUCAUGCCCCUUAUAUCCAGGGCUGCACGCAUGCUACAAUGGCCUGUACAACGGGCAGCGAUCUCGCGAGAGUGAGCGAAUCCCUUAAAGCAGGCCCCAGUUCGGAUUGAAGUCUGCAACUCGACUUCAUGAAGCCGGAGUCGCUAGUAAUCGCGGAUCAGCAAAGCCGCGGUGAAUACGUUCUCGGGGAUUGUACACACCGCCCGUCAAGUCACGGAAGUCGGCAACACCCAAAGUCAGUGGCCUAACCCUUUUGGGAGGGAGCUGCCUAAGGUGGGGUCGGUAACUGGGACUAAGUCGUAACAAGGUAACC